RNAcentral lists this ribosomal RNA (253 nucleotides) under uncultured bacterium. RNAcentral's name for it is "partial 16S ribosomal RNA". It matches the Rfam family "Bacterial small subunit ribosomal RNA", at positions 524 to 776 of the family's 1533-position model. The record is from RNAcentral.
UACAGAGGGGGCAAGCGUUAAUCGGAAUUACUGGGCGUAAAGCGUGCGCAGGCGGUUAUGUAAGACAGGGGUGAAAUCCCCGGGCUUAACCUGGGAACUGCAUUUGUGACUGCAUAGCUAGAGUACGGUAGAGGGGGAUGGAAUUCCGCGUGUAGCAGUGAAAUGCGUAGAUAUGCGGAGGAACACCGAUGGCGAAGGCAAUCCCCUGGACCUGUACUGACGCUCAUGCACGAAAGCGUGGGGAGCAAACAGG